GAUGAACGCUAGCGGCAGGCCUAAUACAUGCAAGUCGAACGGAUAUAUGUUUUUCGGAAUAUAUAUUAGUGGCGCACGGGUGAGUAACACGUACAUAACUUGCCCUCAAGCGGGGGAUAGCCUUGGGAAACUGAGAGUAAUACCCCAUAGAAUUAUUGGACGGCAUCGUUUGAUAAUUAAAACUACGGUGCUUGGGGAUAGAUGUGCGUCUGAUUAGCUAGUUGGUGAGGUAACUGCUCACCAAGGCGACGAUCAGUAGGGGGCGUGAGAGCGUGGCCCCCCCACACGGGUACUGAGACACGGACCCGACUCCUACGGGAGGCAGCAGUAAGGAAUAUUGGUCAAUGGAGGGAACUCUGAACCAGCCAUGGCCGCGUGAAGGAUGACGGCCCUCUGGGUUGUAAACUUCUUUUGGAUGGGGCGGAAAAACGGGNUUUAUCCUGGACUGACGGUACCAUCAGAAUAAGCACCGGCUAACUCCGUG
This 484-nucleotide ribosomal RNA is filed under the name uncultured bacterium. RNAcentral describes it as "bacterial SSU rRNA". It matches the Rfam family "Bacterial small subunit ribosomal RNA", at positions 28 to 507 of the family's 1533-position model. The record is from RNAcentral.